This 253-nucleotide ribosomal RNA is filed under the name Holdemanella biformis DSM 3989. Its description in RNAcentral is "partial 16S ribosomal RNA". It matches the Rfam family "Bacterial small subunit ribosomal RNA", at positions 524 to 776 of the family's 1533-position model. Lineage: Bacteria; Bacillati; Bacillota; Erysipelotrichia; Erysipelotrichales; Erysipelotrichaceae. The record is from RNAcentral.
UACGUAGGUGGCGAGCGUUAUCCGGAAUGAUUGGGCGUAAAGGGUGCGUAGGUGGCAGAUCAAGUCUGGAGUAAAAGGUAUGGGCUCAACCCGUACUGGCUCUGGAAACUGAUCAGCUAGAGAACAGAAGAGGACGGCGGAACUCCAUGUGUAGCGGUAAAAUGCGUAGAUAUAUGGAAGAACACCGGUGGCGAAGGCGGCCGUCUGGUCUGGAUUCUGACAUUGAAGCACGAAAGCGUGGGGAGCAAAUAGG